AACGCACAUUGCGCCCGCCAGUAUUCUGGCGGGCAUGCCUGUUCGAGCGUCAUUUCAACCAUCAAGCCCCUGCGCUUGUGUUGGAGCCCUGCGGCUGCCGCAGGCUCCCAAACCCAGUGGCGGGCUCGUCGUCGUACCGAGUGCAGUAAACUUACCACGCUCAGGGCACGCGACGGGUGACCGGCCGUAAAACGCCCCCCUUCUCAAGGUUGACCUCGGAUCAGGUAGGAAUACCCGCUGAACUUAA
Molecule: unclassified non-coding RNA, 247 nt
Filed under: uncultured fungus
Lineage: Eukaryota; Fungi
Description: partial contains 5.8S ribosomal RNA, internal transcribed spacer 2, and large subunit ribosomal RNA
Rfam family: 5.8S ribosomal RNA (bases 1-52)
Source: RNAcentral